UGAAACGAUGAUAUCUUUCACUUCUGCGGC
Molecule: small RNA, 30 nt
Filed under: Bombyx mori (domestic silkworm)
Lineage: Eukaryota; Metazoa; Arthropoda; Insecta; Lepidoptera; Bombycidae
Description: ovarian small RNA-30433
Source: RNAcentral